AUGGCACCUUUGGAGUUAGCCGAGCUUAAGAAACAGCUUGAUGAGUCCUUGCAAAAGGGUUUCAUCCUUCCCAGUUCUUCUCCUUGGGCUUGUCCUGUCCUCUUCGUCAAGAAGGAUGGUACGGAUCGGAUGGUUGUAGAUUAUCGUCCCGUUAAUUUGGUCACGAUAAAGAACAAGUAUCCGCUCCCCAGGAUCAACGACCUGUAUGAUCAGCUCGCUGGAUCCUCAGUCUUUUCCAAGAUGGAUUUGAGGUUAGGCUACCACCAAAUCAAAAUCAGAAACGGGGACAUCCCCAAAACGGCUUUUGUCACUCGUUAUGGUCAAUAUGAGUACACCGUGAUGUCUUUCGGCCUAACCAAUGCUCCAGCUACUUUCUCCCGCUUGAUGAACUCGAUCUUUAUGGAGUACUUAGAUAAGUUCGUCGUGGUUUAUCUCGAUGAUAUUCUUAUUUACUCGAAGAACGAUGAAGAGCAUGCCGAACAUCUUAGGCUUGUGUUAGAAAAACUCAGAGAGCACCGCCUUUAUGCCAAGUUCUCUAAGUGUGAAUUUUGGUUGCCAGAAGUGACCUAUCUGGGCCACGUGAUCUCUGGUAAGGGCAUUGCUAUCAAUCCCGAGAGAGUCAAAGCCGUUCUCAAUUGGACUCCACCCAAAACGGUCAAACAAGUUAGGAGUUUCCUUGGUCUAGACAGUUAUUGUCGCUGCUUCAGUGAAAACUUCUCCAAAGUGGCCAAACCCCUCACGGAACUUCUCAAGAAAGAUAAAAGGUUUGAGUGGACCCCAUAG
RNAcentral lists this ribosomal RNA (783 nucleotides) under Triticum aestivum (bread wheat). Its description in RNAcentral is "partial small subunit ribosomal RNA". Lineage: Eukaryota; Viridiplantae; Streptophyta; Magnoliopsida; Poales; Poaceae. The record is from RNAcentral.